GUGGCCCCUACAUUCGCAGAGGAAAUCAUGCAGUUGCUGAGGCUUCGUCCCGUGUCACCAGUGUCUGCUGAGAGCGCUGAGGACUGUCCUGCUCAGGCUGCUGGAGACUCAGAGGUGAAAUCACCACUUCCGGGUCAGCUGAUGCUCCCGCCCCUGAGCCUCUCAGGAGGCUCCACCCAGAGGACGCAGAGCAGUGACGUCAAUGAUGGACCCGUAUGUUGUCGCUGCUGGUGCCCAGGCGAGGCAGUGUGGAAGGCCUUUUUGUCUAGGGCUUUGCUGAGACCACCUCUGCGCUUGGUAAAAACCAUGAACAAUCACAGGUCCUGUGUGUAGGUGUUUUUGGUGUCUGGUAUGUUUGCGCCCUUCACCACUGAAGCAUUCUUUGCAUUUAUGGAAUGAUCUUCAAUUUCACUUCAGGGAGCAAUGCACCUUAAUGGCUUUCUACUGCUGCAGUAUCCUUUAUGGUAAGUCAGGUCUUCUAAGGAUUUACACGUACCUGCUAUAUUUCCAAAAGGACUGGCGUAAGUAAUCAAAACUAAUCCUUAAAACAUAUUUGCCCUUUCUUGAACACGUGAAUUCUGAUAUCAUUUAGGUCUUCCUACUGGGCCAGUGGUCCUGCCCCACUGAAGGUUGGUCACGUUGCUAUUCUCUGUGAGGAACUGACUCCUGACCUUGUUCUGACUUUCCACUGGGGGGCUGUUUGCUCUGAUUCUGUGCUUACCUGUAUCAGCUCCAUUUUUCCUUUCUUAAGUUGGCCAUUCCAUCGUGCAUUUUUCCUGAUGGGAUUGUUUCCAGUAAGUGGUUACCACAAAGUACUUUGGUUUUGAACGUGAGAAAUCAGUCUUUUUCUGUUUGCUUACUCUUUUACUGAUGACUCAUUAUGAUUGCAUAAGAUAAUUGUCCUGUUGAAUUAGACCCUGGAACUUCACUGAUACUCAUGUCCCUGCUUGCUGUAUGGCUGCGUUUGCCCCGUGGUUCAUGCUGUGUCUGAGAAGGAAAGACGGGUAAAACACAGAGGCUCUUUGUGUUCUGUUCUUAGCAGUUAGAUGGAGGAUGUGAAUUGACUUGCUUAAAUUUUUUGCCCCUGGACUGACAUUUUGUCUGCUGGGCUGGUUUUGAUAAUUACUAAAACAUCUUGGUUAGAAUCUCUCACUGUAAUGUUUGAGUUCCUGCAUCUUCCUGUUAUUUUAUAUGUGUUUAGCAUUAUAGAUAAUGAUUCUAUGUUUAUUUGUAUGUACUCAUUUAAAGCUUAAAUAUGCCAACAUGGCCUUUUAUAUACUCAGUUAUUGUCCUCCCUAAGUUUGACUUGUCUGAUCUGACUGAAGGGGCACCUGCUCUCUCUCUCGGUAGUUUACAGAGUGGGCAUCUUCUAUGAAAACGGUUUUGCAUUUUUUUAUGUUGUUUUUUGGAUGCAUGUGGGGCUGGAAGCCUGGUUUCCUGGUCUUUAUGUGGUUACUCAGGCUCUCUUUCUGUUGCCAUUUGCUUGAUACAUCUUUCCCAUCCUCUUCCUUUUGACGUAUGCAUGUUUUGUAUUUAACAUACAAGUCUGUUAGAAAACGUACGCCUGGCAUAGUGUGCUUUUUCAUUCAGCUUUAUUGAAGUGUAAAUAAAGUGAAAACAUAUAUAUUUAACGUGUACA
Oryctolagus cuniculus (rabbit) is the source of this 1639-nucleotide long non-coding RNA. Lineage: Eukaryota; Metazoa; Chordata; Mammalia; Lagomorpha; Leporidae. The record is from Ensembl.